This 867-nucleotide long non-coding RNA is filed under the name Homo sapiens (human). RNAcentral describes it as "HSALNT0242058". The record is from RNAcentral. Lineage: Eukaryota; Metazoa; Chordata; Mammalia; Primates; Hominidae.
CGGCCUCCCAAAGUGCUGGGAUUACAGGCAUGAGCUACUGCUGCCCGCUGGAAUACUCUUUACCUCUACCAUAUCCUAGGUAGGGAAAUCCUAGUUGUUUAAGCUCUAUGAACCUCUGCUCUUCAUCAGCAAAAUUGAGAAAAUAAUAGUAGCUACUAAGAUCAUGUGAUAAUGAAUGUAUACAAUGCCUGGUCACUGGAAAUGUUCAAUAAUUAUUAACUCUUAUUAUUCUUACUCAUUCUUCAAGGCUGGCUGGAAUAUUACUUUCUCUGCUAAACACUGACACUUCCAGGCAUAUUAUUAUUAUUAUUUUUAAUUACUCCCUCCUCUGGUUCUCAUGGCUGAUUACUCAUACCUUUAUUAUAACAUGCACUACUUUUUAUUUUAAUGGCUUUUUACUCAUCCCUCUGGCCACUAGAUAUGACCUCCUCCUGGGCAAGAAGCAUGGGGGCACCUAUCUUUCUAUCACUUGGACCUGACAUUCAGUGGGUGUUGCAUAACUGGUGAGCAGAAUGGAAAUGAGAACACGGUAGCCAGCUGCCCUUCCCCUGGCUAUAGAUCUUACAGUUUUUAUCUAAAAAUAUGUUUAGAGCCACCGCGCCCGGCCGAGCAGGAAAUUCUUACCAGCCUCUUGGCAAAAACUGGAUUCCUGGAAUUUCACAGGAAAGAUAGAGCAACCACCUUCCCUGGGGGCUGCUUCUUGAUUGCCACUGGAGGUGGUAGGAAGUGACCUGGUAGGAAGCCAGCUGUGCCAUUCUGUUUGUGUAACAGCAUUACCAGUUAAUCCAUUGCUCUCUUGGUGAAACAUCAGUCACCAGUUUAACCUCAGUUCCAUUUCCUAUUCAGCCGUGAGAUUCCUGGGCUUUG